UCGGAAAGGAACACUCAAUUUAAUUGCAUGUACAGAUGGCAAAACAAAAACCUGACCUUAAAAUGUGGGCUUUGCUCUCUGUUCUCAUUAACUAAAAAGUUUUAUUGCCAACACAACAGUGCCGAUAGUUUUCCUUCACCUUAAAAGGCAGACGCUGGCUGUCUCUUCAUUGCAUUUGUAUUUCUUCUCCAUACGUUAAGCUAAAGUCUUAUGUUUUGAGCAAGAGUUUGUCUCGAUAUUACGCAACAUCUGCAAUCUGAUUUCUGAAAACGUCUGUCCUGUCUCGAAAAUGCUCUGCUCCUUUUGCCCCUGAGUUUUCCCCAGGUGUCGUGUGCCAGGGGAGUGUAUUCUGUCACCCUGCGGCACUAUGGCAACACUCCUCUUGCGAAUCCGACCAGCAGUGCAGCUGUAGUUCCCCUGCCAUGAGGCAGCGGAGCCCCUGGGAGAAAACAAUGUACUGCUCCAGACCACAAAACACACCGCCUGCUCAGGAAGUGACAUUCUGGGCCGUCAGUUCCCUAGCAGGUCUUCAGCCCUCGAAAACAAAGCCUGAAUGGCGGCUCUGGAACAAGGCAGCUUUAAUUCUGCCCAUUCACAACAAACAGGAUGGCCCUCUACUGUGUCGACUUCCCAGGCGCCCGCGGGCCACAGCCGACCACUGCACGGGGGAGGACUGGGGCCACUCCGGGCUGGGCGAGAAGUACCCCGGGCUGUGGGGGAUACCGCUGCCGCACAAGCUGCGCAGUGGGGGUACGACACAGGAGAGUCCCAAGAGUCUGGCGUACUGUACACCGUCCUUCCGAAACACCUGCGGGGAAGGACCGCCUCUGGAAGAGAAUCGCACUUUUAAAGCGCCGCUGGGUCACCAUGCACGUCUCCAGCAACGGCACGAAACGCAAUGUCACAAAAAAAUGAGACCCAUGUGACAACGACAUGUGGCCCGACAGUGCUGCUGCGGGCUCCGGACAAGAAGCUCGAACACGAAUCCAAUCAAAGGAAGGAGCCAGCCUGGCCGGAAGGUCAGCACCUACGGAAAGUGCCGUUAUUAACACCAGCAGGGAUACAUAAAUGUUCCACCCUCUUCCUGCUUGGCCCCGUUCUAGCCCAGUGCAGAGUGGAAGCUCGACUGACACUGCUUAAAGCUCUGGGUUCUGCCAACGACUGGCGACCCUCACAAACCGUCCCUGACGCCCCACAAGGGGAGAGCCCCCCGGACCGGGUGACAAGCCCGCGGCUCUCAUAGACCCCGGAAACUCACACAGCCCGUGGCCGAAAGCAAAGAAGACAACAAAAUAAAUCAAGGAGGACCCAGUUUCAUGAAGAGGGCACACGGGCCUAAACAACAAAAGAGGCAAAUAAAGAAGAGAGGGGAUAAAAGUCAAGCUGGUCUUGAAAGAGGGCUCCCUCAAGGCUGUCCUGACUAAUUCUGAGCACUGUUACCAGCCCUGCUCUUAUCUGUCCAGAUUAACUCCCAAUUGUUCCCCCUGAAACAAAGGUUGCCUCACAGGAAAUAAGCCCCCCAAAGACAGAUGGUCAGUGCAGCACGCUUUACUCCCUCCUGCCUGAAAGAGACACUGCCCGCAACCCAGAGACCACCACUGGAGCUGUCGACACAGGAACACUCCCUCCGCACCGAGACUAGACACUGGCAUCUGAACCCCGGGAGCACCUGGAGCACAGCAAGGCACUCCCACCGGCAAGAAGAUAUACAGCGAACCCAUCAG
RNAcentral lists this long non-coding RNA (1724 nucleotides) under Lepisosteus oculatus (spotted gar). Its description in RNAcentral is "lncRNA (ENSLOCG00000023111.1)". The record is from RNAcentral. Lineage: Eukaryota; Metazoa; Chordata; Actinopteri; Semionotiformes; Lepisosteidae.